This 274-nucleotide long non-coding RNA is filed under the name Anser brachyrhynchus (Pink-footed goose). RNAcentral's name for it is "lncRNA (ENSABRG00000005028.1)". The record is from RNAcentral. Lineage: Eukaryota; Metazoa; Chordata; Aves; Anseriformes; Anatidae.
UGGAGGUCUCCAUGAAGUGGGCAUUUUCUCACUUGCAAGUUGGACUCAGUGGAGCAUCACCGACAUCUUCGGAUGGACUUUGAUCAAGUCAUGCUGCCACGUGGGCAGCAGGAUUGGGCUGCAGCUGCUACCUGCUGUGUUGGGCUGCUGUAGUCUUCCUAGGACUUGGACUUGGCUGGCACAAGCAAAGGAUGUUUGCAGCCAGUUUGGCAGGUUCAGAAGAUAAUCCUUCACACCUUUUGGCUUUAAAUAAAUCACUUUUUGUACAGAGACA